Molecule: small RNA, 417 nt
Filed under: Pongo abelii (Sumatran orangutan)
Lineage: Eukaryota; Metazoa; Chordata; Mammalia; Primates; Hominidae
Description: processed transcript
Source: RNAcentral
AAAGAAUACCUGGACAGCCUGCCAUCCUAUUGCUCCAAAAUGAAAAUCCUCUAAAAGGGUCAACUGGUGGCAGGGAACAAAACCCCGCUGAGACUGGCUGAAACACAAGUGGAGCCUGUGCUCAGGGUGCAGGAAGUGGAGCAUCCAAGGGGAGAGUGUUCACAGCAUCUUCACCAGGAUUAGAUUCCAUCUCAAGAAACCACUUUACUCUUCCGUCAUGGAGAUGGCUUAUUUCCUUAAACCUCAUGAACCAACCUCUACUAGCUUCAGACUUUUCUUCUGCAGUUUCCUCACCUCUGUCAGCCUCCAUACAAUCGAAGAAUUAAGGGCUUGCUCUGGAUUAGGUAUUGGCUUAAGGGAAUGUCGUGGCUAGUUUGAUCCUCUAUCCAGACCACUAAAACUUUCUAUCAGCAAUAA